GAAACUUUAGCGAAGUGGCCUAACGCGCUCCCCUGCUAUCAAACCAUGCCCCUUCAUACAGGGAAUUAAUAGGAAGAAGCAGCCUAGGGAGUCUCCUCGGAGGCGCAGGUUCAAAUCCUGUAGGUGUCG
Molecule: non-coding RNA, 129 nt
Organism: Lasiosphaeria ovina
Lineage: Eukaryota; Fungi; Ascomycota; Sordariomycetes; Sordariales; Lasiosphaeriaceae
Source: the annotation of a GenBank genome assembly